GACGAACGCUGGCGGCGUGCCUAAUACAUGCAAGUUGAGCGAUGAAGAUUGGUGCUUGCACCAAUUUGAAGAGCAGCGAACGGGUGAGUAACGCGUGGGGAAUCUGCCUUUGAGCGGGGGACAACAUUUGGAAACGAAUGCUAAUACCGCAUAACAACUUUAAACAUAAGUUUUAAGUUUGAAAGAUGCAAUUGCAUCACUCAAAGAUGAUCCCGCGUUGUAUUAGCUAGUUGGUGAGGUAAAGGCUCACCAAGGCGAUGAUACAUAGCCGACCUGAGAGGGGCAUCGGCAACAUUGGGACUGGGACACUGCCCAAACUCCUUCUGGAGGCAGCAGUAGGGAAUCUUCCGCAAUGGACGAAAGUCUGACCGAGCAACGCCGCGUGAGUGCAGAAGGUUUUCGGAUCGUAAAACUCUGUUGGUAGGGAAGAACGUUGGUGAGAGUGGAAAGCUCAUCAAGUGACGGUAACUACCCAGAAAGGGACGGCUAACUACGUG
Molecule: ribosomal RNA, 497 nt
Filed under: uncultured bacterium
Lineage: Bacteria
Description: partial 16S ribosomal RNA
Rfam family: Bacterial small subunit ribosomal RNA
Source: RNAcentral